AGGAACCCAAGGAGCAAACGGGAGAGUUGGAAAAGAGAAUGAGAGAUUUGGAAAAGAGAAUGAAGGAACUCCAGGAGAAAAAGGAGGAACCCCAGGAGCAAAUGGAACAACUCCAGGAGGAAAAGGGAGAAAUGGAAAAGACAAUAAAGGAACCCCUGGAGGAAAUGGGUGA
Molecule: long non-coding RNA, 172 nt
Organism: Mauremys reevesii (Reeves's turtle)
Lineage: Eukaryota; Metazoa; Chordata; Testudines; Geoemydidae
Exons: 8
Source: RefSeq, a predicted model, not a curated record